This is a long non-coding RNA of Bactrocera tryoni, 168 nucleotides long. RefSeq lists it as uncharacterized. The transcript has 3 exons. NCBI's taxonomy places the organism in Eukaryota, Metazoa, Arthropoda, Insecta, Diptera, Tephritidae. The record is from RefSeq and is a predicted model, not a curated record.
AGCGAGCAGCUCAGAUAUUUAAUGCUUUUCCGGUUGGCAGUUACAUGUGUUGGCCGUAAUGAAUAUAACUACAGACUACACAGUUUCUGAGCUCAAUCAAUUUGGGUAGUUUUUGGCUCGCCAGUCGUCCAAGCGAUUCAAAAACUGGUUUCUAUGCACAACUUUAAG